UAAUGCAUCUAGACAUACUAAGGUCCUGAAAUUCGUUGAAGAGGGAAGAUGGAAUGUGACCAAGCUUAAGGAAGUCCUCCCCGAUAGUUUCAUUAGCAAUAUUUUGGAGAUUAAGAUUUAUGGGGGUAGCGAAGAUUUGCCAGUUUGGACAGUUGAUUCAAAUGGAGUCUUUACUUGUAAAUCGGCAUGGAAAAAUAUGAGAAAACCAAGGUCCAGAUCUUUCACUGCAUCUAUGGUGUGACACCAGAGAAUUCCUUUCAAAAUCUCAUUUUUCUGUUGAGGAUGAUUCGGUCCCGAUGAAAUAAUUCGGAAAUUUGGUAGAAUGGUUCCGUCCAUGUGAUCCUGCUGUACUAAUCACAAUGAGGAGACUGUGACUCAUCUCUUUUGCAAAAGCCAGAUUGCUACACAAAUUUGGCUAUUCUUUGGUAGAUGUUGAUGCAUUACCUUGAGAAUGGAAAAUAUCAUACAGAUUUUAAUGUCUUGGAGGCUAGCAAAAACAAAGAAUAAAAUCCAUGUUGCUUUGUUACAAUGUCUAUCGUUACUUAUCUGUUAUGAGAUUUGGAAGAGUAGGUGUGCUUCCAUAUUUGAAAAUAUUCACAUGUCCGAAAGGUUUAUAAUUCAGUAAGUUUCUAAAUAUAACUUUCUUUUUAAACAUUCUAUUCCCCAAAGUUAAUCUUCCUCAUCCUUGGCAUGUUUUAUGCACAACAGUGGAGACGACUAGACAGAUCAUUACCAACCAAUUGGUAAGGUGGUAUAAACCUGAUGAUGGAUGGGUAAAAUUAAACAUGGAUGGUUGUUGUAAAAGGAAUCCAGGAAACUUUGGCGGAGGGGGAAUACUCAGAAACAGUCAAGGUGCUUGCAUUUUCGCAUUUGAUAAUUACUUUGGUGUUAGGCACCCUCGGAUCCCGUGGUUCUAGCACGGUCACUUAAAUUGUUAUGAAUGGCUAAAAUCUGAUUUUAAUAUAUGAAGAGCCUAUGUGCCAAUUUUUCUUUUUACCACUUUUAUUUAACAUAAUAUUUAUUUGAGAAAGUCAACGUCGUUUAAAGUGUGUUUUCGGAUUGCGCCGCAUCAAAUGAACCCGCAAUCCUAGGCACACUCUAUUCAACGUUUUAGGAUUUGGAUUUGGGCCGCAAAAAAUGCCCACCCGUAUUUGAGAAUGUAAUUUAUUAAAGUCGCACCUAAUAGAGUCUAACGCGUUGUAAUCUUUUGGGAGGGUCGUGAAAUUCACUAAGCGACCCUUCCCGAUUUCUAAAAUAAUUUUUAAUUGAGGGCCCCACAAUUUGCAUUUUUAUUUGGCGAGGCUCGCCUCAACUCAAAUUUUAAAGGGAUUUUAUUCAACUAAAAUGAACUACGGAUAUUUAUGAAUUAAUUACUUCCUAUGUUUAGGGUUUUCAUAUAACGUUUCCCUUCCAAUCACAAGCAGUACACUCUCAAACGCAUUACACUUGAACUGUAGGCAUGAUAUUCACAACAUGAAUGGUAGUGGUCAGAAUGGUAAUAAGUAAAAUUGGUUUUACUCAUAGUGUGUUUUCUUCAUACUAAACAUUUCCUGGUCCCAUUUUCAAGUUCAUAUGGGAGGCUUAACAUGCAGAUUGGAAUGGAACUUUAAACAUUCAAAUAAAAAUCCAAUUUCACUUUAGUUCCAAGCUAAAACUUGGUUUUCUAUUCACAAUCAAAAAGUAAAUAGAAGAAAAUUUUAACUGAAGUCGGGCAACAAUUUGAACCUAAGCCGUUAUUAGAAUUGCCCAGAAUGUUGACACGAGAUGUUAUCAAAAUUGCAAAUAGGAACAAUUCAUUAAACAAUCAGAGACUAGCUUUACAGAUUGGACCAUAUACACAGUAAAUUACUUCAAUAUUGUUAAACAAAACUGAGAUAAUCCAAUUGGAAACACAAUUUGCGAGUUUAAAGAUAUUUCAAUUUUCCAACCGAACUGAAAUCCAAUAUAUAUUGACAACAUAUUAAAGCAACAGAAAUUCUAAGUUCAGCAGAGGUGUCAAAAUUUCAACCAAAACAUAACACAAGGAAUUUGGGAAAACUGACCUAACUGGAACAACAAUAUCACUAACAAAUUGGCCAAAUAGAGGCGAAAUUCAAGCCGAACCAGAACUCCGUACAGUGCAGCAUAUUAUGACAUUUAAUUGACAAUUAAAGCAAUUACAUUGUUGGAGAUUUGAAGUAAAUACCUUAAUAAGCAGUAAAAUAACUAGAACACCAAGCAAGAGCUGAAAUCAAUGGACUGGACAAAACGGCUACAACAACAUGCAGUGAACUCAACCAGCAAGGAAGUCUUUCAGCUCCGCCAGAUCCGAAAUCGUCCAGAGAACAUUAAAAAAGGAAUCUCAAGCUUUGAAUGGGCGAUGUAGCCUUCUGCUAAUGAAUUUUGUGUUUUCUUCCUUUGGGAUGUUCUGUGGGGUUUCUAGAAAUGACGAUGGAGAGGAAUCCCGUUAUUUCUGUGAUUUUUGUUUUGAUUUUGAGAUUUUUCCUUUUGGUGUUCUGUUCCCCCCGGAGGUUGUGAACGAGAGGGGAGGGGUCUUUUUAAGAUCCGGAGAUGAAGGAAGGGGUCACCAAAAAUCUGGAAGGGGUCACGCUUUUUCGUCUCC
This 2602-nucleotide long non-coding RNA is filed under the name Nicotiana benthamiana. RNAcentral's name for it is "long non-coding RNA (NBEN_LNC011254)". Lineage: Eukaryota; Viridiplantae; Streptophyta; Magnoliopsida; Solanales; Solanaceae. The record is from RNAcentral.